RNAcentral lists this ribosomal RNA (725 nucleotides) under Plasmodium ovale wallikeri. RNAcentral describes it as "SSU rRNA". It matches the Rfam family "Eukaryotic small subunit ribosomal RNA", at positions 191 to 864 of the family's 1831-position model. The record is from RNAcentral. Lineage: Eukaryota; Apicomplexa; Aconoidasida; Haemosporida; Plasmodiidae.
UGUCUUACGUAUGUACUUGUUAAGCCUUUAAGAGAAAAGUUUACAACUUAAGGAAUUAUAACAAAGAAGUAACACAUAAUAAGUUUACCUUAUUUAGUGUGUAUCAAUCGAGUUUCUGACCUAUCAGCUUUUGAUGUUAGGGUAUUGGCCUAACAUGGCUAUGACGGGUAACGGGGAAUUAGAGUUCGAUUCCGGAGAGGGAGCCUGAGAAAUAGCUACCACAUCUAAGGAAGGCAGCAGGCGCGUAAAUUACCCAAUUCUAAAGAAGAGAGGUAGUGACAAGAAAUAACAAUACAAGGCCAUUUCAUGGUUUUGUAAUUGGAAUGAUGGGAAUUUAAAACCUUCCCAAAAUUCAAUUGGAGGGCAAGUCUGGUGCCAGCAGCCGCGGUAAUUCCAGCUCCAAUAGCGUAUAUUAAAAUUGUUGCAGUUAAAACGCUCGUAGUUGAAUUUCAAAGAAUCAAUAUUUUAAGUAAUGCUUUUGGUUUAAGAUGCUUAGACAAUACAACGUAUCUGCUCUUUGCAUUCCUUAUCCAAAAUGUGUUCUUAUUAUAAAAAGGAUUCUUUUUAAAAUCUCCUUUACUUUCUUGUACUGGAGAUUUUGUUACUUUGAGUAAAUUAGAGUGUUCAAAGCAAACAGUUAAAGCAUUUUACUGCGUUUGAAUACUACAGCAUGGAAUAACAAAAUUGAACAAGUCAAAAUUCUGUUCCUUUUUCUUAUUUUGGCU